AGGAAUUUGUAUCUCAGUGAAAACCUUUAUAUUUUCUAUCAUGUGCUUUUCUCCGAUUACUCCUGAAACCCCAUCUCCUCCAUAUUUCCUUCCAAAAUGGUUUCAGGAGUAUUCAAAUUGUCCAUGUGGCAACUGACAGCAUUACCGAAUCCCCACAAGAUGAAGGCUGAACAUCUUCUGUUUCUGAUCACAACCGGAAUUCUACUGUGGCUCCUGUGACUAUCUUAAAGAGUGCUAGAGGAGUGUCUUCAUCUUGUUGAUUUUAUAUCCCAUCUCUGCUAAUUUACAUGGAAACUAUUGAAACUUCUGAAGAUGGGAGUGAUUAUCUGAGCUGCAGUUUGGCACCUGAGAGAUGGACCGAAGAGAAAGGUAUCCAGGAGAGAUGGAAUUAACC
RNAcentral lists this long non-coding RNA (394 nucleotides) under Homo sapiens (human). RNAcentral's name for it is "HSALNT0171605". Lineage: Eukaryota; Metazoa; Chordata; Mammalia; Primates; Hominidae. The record is from RNAcentral.